This 75-nucleotide microRNA precursor is filed under the name Fukomys damarensis (Damara mole-rat). RNAcentral describes it as "mir-328 microRNA precursor family". It matches the Rfam family "mir-328 microRNA precursor family". The record is from Rfam by way of RNAcentral. Lineage: Eukaryota; Metazoa; Chordata; Mammalia; Rodentia; Bathyergidae.
UGGAGCGGGGGGGCAGGAGGGGCUCAGGGAGAAAGUGUGUGCAUCCCCUGGCCCUCUCUGCCCUUCCGUCCCCUG